UUGACCUCAAAUCAGGUAGGACUACCCGCUGAACUUAAGCAUAUCAAUAAGCGGAGGAAAAGAAACUAACAAGGAUUCCCCUAGUAACUGCGAGUGAAGCGGGAAAAGCUCAAAUUUAAAAUCUGGCGGUUCUUGACCGUCCGAGUUGUAAUCUAGAGAAGUGUUACCUGUGCUGGACCGUGUACAAGUCUCCUGGAAUGGAGCAUCACAGAGGGUGAGAAUCCCGUCUUUGACAUGGACUGCCUGCACGCUGUGGUGCGCUCUCGAAGAGUCGAGUUGUUUGGGAAUGCAGCUCAAAACGGGUGGUAAAUGCCAUCUAAAGCUAAAUAUUGGCGAGAGACCGAUAGCGAACAAGUACCGUGAGGGAAAGAUGAAAAGAACUUUGGAAAGAGAGUUAAACAGUACGUGAAAUUGCUGAAAGGGAAACGCUUGAAGUCAGUCGCGUUGGCUAGAAAUCAGCCUUGCUUUUGCUUGGUGUACUUUCUUGUCGACGGGUCAGCAUCAGUUUCGACUGCUGGAUAAGGACUUUGGGAAUGUGGCAUCUUUGGAUGUGUUAUAGCCCAUUGUUGCAUACAGCGGUGGGGAUUGAGGAACUCAGCACGCCGCAAGGCCGGGUCUCUGACCACGUUCGUGCUUAGGAUGCUGGCAUAAUGGCUUUAAUCGACCCGUCUUGAAACACGGACCAAGGAGUCUAACAUGCCUGCGAGUGUUUGGGUGGAAAACCCAUGCGCGCAAUGAAAGUGAAAGUUGAGAUCCCUUUGGGGAGCAUUGACGCCCGGACCAGACCUUCUGUGACGGAUCCGCGGUAGAGCAUGCAUGUUGGGACCCGAAAGAUGGUGAACUAUGCCUGAAUAGGGUGAAGCCAGAGGAAACUCUGGUGGAGGCUCGUAGCGAUUCUGACGUGCAAAUCGAUCGUCAAAUUUGGGUAUAGGGGCGAAAGACUAAUCGAACCAUCUAGUAGCUGGUUCCUGCCGAAGUUUCCCUCAGGAUAGCAGAAACUCGUAUCAGAUAUAUGUGGUAAAGCGAAUGAUUAGAGGCCUUGGGGUUGAAACAACCUUAACCUAUUCUCAAACUUUAAAUAUGUAAGAACGAGCCGUCUCUUGACUGGACCGCUCGAUGAUAGAGAGUUUCUAGUGGGCCAUUUUUGGUAAGCAGAACUGGCGAUGCGGGAUGAACCGAACGCGAGGUUAAAGUGCCGGAAUUCACGCUCAUCAGACACCACAAAUGGUGUUAGUUCAUCUAGACAGCAGGACGGUGGUCAUGGAAGUCGGAAU
Molecule: ribosomal RNA, 1274 nt
Filed under: Inocybe tetragonospora
Lineage: Eukaryota; Fungi; Basidiomycota; Agaricomycetes; Agaricales; Inocybaceae
Description: eukaryotic LSU rRNA
Rfam family: Eukaryotic large subunit ribosomal RNA
Source: RNAcentral